AUGCACAAGUUUGGGACAAGAAGCAUAUCGAUCUCUCCCGGCCCUUCGUCUCUAGCUUUUGCUUCUUCUCCGAUGGGUUAUCCGGGGAGCUUGGCCGCCCUCCUCCUCGUGGUGGCCGCCGCCGCCACGGCCGUCGUCGCCCACAACGACCACGGCGAGCACAAGAACUACCUCGUCAUCGUGCGCACGCCGUACGAGUACGACCGGAACCUGUACAAGAACGUGUCGAGCUGGCACGCCUCGCUGCUGGCGUCCGUGUGCGACCAGGCCAAGGAGCAGCUCGACGCGGACCCGGGCGCCGCGGAGCGCCUCAUCUACUCCUACCGCAACGUCAUCAAUGGCUUCGCCGCCCGCCUCACCCCCGACGAGCUGCACCGUAUGGGCGAGAAGGACUGGUUCCUCAAGGCCUUGCCGGAGCAGACCUACCAGCUCACGACCACGCACACGCCGCGGAUGCUUGGGCUCACCGGCCCCUUGUUCCACGCCGGCGUCUGGAACAGGACCAACAUGGGGGAGGGGAUGAUCAUCGGCAUCCUCGACGGCGGCAUCGCCGGCGCGCACCCGUCGUUCGACGGCACCGGCAUGCCGCCGCCGCCCGCCAAGUGGAAGGGCCGCUGCGACUUCAACCGCUCCGUGUGCAACAACAAGCUCAUCGGCGCGCGCUCCUUCUACGAGUCGGCCAAGUGGAGGUGGGAAGGGAUCGACGACCCGGUCCUGCCCAUCGACGACAGCGCGCACGGGACGCACGUGUCGAGCACGGCGGCCGGCGCGUUCGUGCCGGGAGCCAACGCCAUGGGCAGCGGCUUCGGCACGGCGGCCGGCAUGGCGCCCCGCGCGCACCUGGCCUUCUACCAGGUGUGCUUCGUGGGCAAGGGCUGCGACCGCGACGACAUACUCGCGGCGAUCGACGACGCCCUCGACGAGGGCAUCGACGUGCUCUCCAUGUCGCUCGGCGCUGAUGACGCCGGAGACUUCGCCGCCGACCCCAUUGCGCUGGGGGGAUUCAGCAGCGUCAUGAGAGGCGUCUUCGUCUGCACAUCGGCUGGGAACCAAGGCCCGUCCCCGGCCACAGUUGCCAACGAGGCCCCGUGGCUGCUCACCGUGGCUGCGGCCACAACUGACCGGACUUUCUCUGCGGACGUCAAGUUUGGCAAUGGGCUUGUGGUCAACGGCGAAUCGCACUACCAGCCGAGCACCUACAUGAGCGUGCAGCAGCCGUUGGUGAUUGACACUGCCCCCGACGGCACGUGCUCGGACAAGACCGUCCUAACGGCCAAGCAAGUCGCCGGAAAGAUAGUCCUUUGCAUCUCCGGCGGCAACCUGACCAACCUCGAGAAGGGAAGCAUCCUGCACGACGCCGGCGCUAUCGCCAUGAUCAUCGUUCAACCGGAGGAGUCUGGCUUGGUGAUCUUACCCAAGGCGCAUGCCCUCCCAGCAACGCAAGUAGAAUCCAAGUGGUCGGACAAGAUCAUGGCGUACGUGAAUUCCACGCAGAGCCCGACCGCCCAGCUGGUCUUCAAAGGGGCGUUGCUCGGCAACCGCAUGGCGCCGGUCGUGGCGCCAUUCUCGUCACGGGGCCCGAGCAGGCAAAACCAGGGGAUUCUCAAGCCCGACAUCACCGGCCCGGGAGUGAACAUCAUCGCCGCCGUCCCCAUGCCCAACGGGCUCGCCCAGCCGCCCAACGAGAUGGCGUACAAGUUCGACAUCAUGUCCGGCACGUCCAUGUCCACGCCGCACAUCAGCGGGGUCGCCGUGCUGAUCAAGAAAGCGCACCCGACCUGGUCGCCGGCGGCCAUCAAGUCGGCCAUGAUGACGACGACCGACACGAGGGACGGCCGCCGGAUGCCGAUGCUGGACCAGGACGGGCUGCCGGCCAACUUGAUUUCGAUGGGCGCCGGCUACAUCAACCCCACCAGAGCCAUGAAUCCCGGGCUCGUGUACAACCAAAGCGCCCAUGACUACAUCCCGUACCUGUGCGGGCUCGGCUACAACGACCACGAGGUGAGCUCGAUCAUCCACCCGGCGCCGCCGCUGUCGUGCAAGCAGCUGCCGGUGAUCCACCAGAAGGACCUCAACUACCCGUCCAUCACCGUCUACCUCGACAAGGAGCCGUACGUCGUGAACGUCAGCCGCGCCCUCACGAACGUCGACAACGACGUAGGGGUGUACGCCGCGUCCGUCGAGCUCCCGCCGUCGCUGUCGGCGAAGGUGACGCCGGACAUACUCGGGUUUAGGGACGUGAACCAGGUGCAGACAUUCACGGUGACCAUCAGGACCAAGGACGGGCAGAAGAUGAAGGAGCGCAUCGCGGAAGGGCAGCUCAAGUGGGUCUCGCGCAAGCACGUCGUGCGUAGCCCCAUCCUCGUAUCUUCCAAGAAGUUCUUCAAAGAAAACUCGAUGGCUAAUAAUGGCCAGCGCGUGGGUGAUUCGUAG
RNAcentral lists this ribosomal RNA (2433 nucleotides) under Triticum aestivum (bread wheat). RNAcentral describes it as "partial small subunit ribosomal RNA". Lineage: Eukaryota; Viridiplantae; Streptophyta; Magnoliopsida; Poales; Poaceae. The record is from RNAcentral.